GCAAACUUGGUCAUUUAGAGGAAGUAAAAGUCGUAACAAGGUUUCCGUAGGUGAACCUGCGGAAGGAUCAUUAUCGAAUUGUUAAAACUUGGUUGUCGCUGGCUUUCUCCCUCCUGUGGGGGCGAUUGCAUGUGCACGCCAAGUUCAAACUCUUCAUUCUAACCUCCUGUGCACUUUUGUGGAUCGUGGAUGGGAUAAAUUUUGUCAAAGUAACAUUUGGAUUUGGGGAUUGCAGUUUGCUUUCCUCUACUAUUUCUCCACGAUUCAUGUCCUUCACUACAAACUAUUUAAAAAUAAACAUAGAAUGCUUCACAAGUUGGGACUUUAGUGACCCUUCUUGAAAAUAUUAUACAACUUUCAACAACGGAUCUCUUGGCUCUCGCAUCGAUGAAGAACGCAGC
Molecule: unclassified non-coding RNA, 401 nt
Filed under: uncultured fungus
Lineage: Eukaryota; Fungi
Description: partial contains small subunit ribosomal RNA, internal transcribed spacer 1, and 5.8S ribosomal RNA
Rfam family: Eukaryotic small subunit ribosomal RNA (bases 1-73)
Source: RNAcentral